CCUACGGGAGGCAGCAGUGAGGAAUUUUGGUCAAUGGCCGUAAGGCUGAACCAGCCAAGUCGCGUGAAGGAAGAAGGAUCUAUGGUUUGUAAACUUCUUUUAUAGGGGAAUAAAGGUAUCCACGUGUGGAUAUUUGCAUGUACCCUAUGAAUAAGCAUCGGCUAACUCCGUGCCAGCAGCCGCGGUAAUACGGAGGAUGCGAGCGUUAUCCGGAUUUAUUGGGUUUAAAGGGUGCGUAGGUUGUUUUUUAAGUCAGCGGUGAAAGUUUGUGGCUCAACCAUAAAAUUGCCGUUGAAACUGGAAGACGUGAGUGUGUUUGAGGUAGGCGGAAUGCGUGGUGUAGCGGUGAAAUGCAUAGAUAUCACGCAGAACUCCGAUUGCGAAGGCAGCUUACUAAGCCAUAACUGACACUGAAGCACGAAAGCGUGGGGAUCAAACAGGAUUAGAUACCCUUGUAGUC
This 460-nucleotide ribosomal RNA is filed under the name uncultured bacterium. RNAcentral's name for it is "partial 16S ribosomal RNA". It matches the Rfam family "Bacterial small subunit ribosomal RNA", at positions 338 to 795 of the family's 1533-position model. The record is from RNAcentral.